GUCGCGCCGUGACGUCAAGGUGUUUCCCGGUGACGUCAGCAGCUCAUGCGCAGUGGCCAAGGCGGCGAUUCUGGGUGACGUCACGGGGCCGGGCGUGACGUGCCGGUGGCACGGGCCGCUGGGAGCUGGCCGGGACCUGCGCUCGCCCCCCUCCCCCUUCCCACUACGGGUCGCGGCUGGGGGCGUCCCGGCGGCGGGGACGCGGCUGCCCCCUCCCCCUCCCUCGCCACAGCGCUUCGGUCCAAGAUGGCGGCGCUGAGCAGCGGCAGCAGCGCGGAGGGGGCCUCGCUCUUCAACGGGGACAUGGAACCUGAGCCGCCGCCGCCCGCGCUCGGCGCCUGCUACGCGGCAGGCGGCGGCGAUCCAGCCAUCCCGGAGGAGGUGUGGAAUAUCAAACAGAUGAUUAAAUUAACACAAGAACAUAUAGAGGCACUGCUAGACAAAUUUGGAGGAGAGCAUAACCCACCAUCGAUAUAUUUAGAGGCCUAUGAAGAGUACACCAGCAAACUAGACGCUCUACAGCAGAGAGAACAGCAGUUACUGGAAUCCAUGGGGAAUGGAACUGAUUUCUCUGUCUCCAGUUCAGCUUCAACAGACACAGUUGCAUCAUCUUCCUCCUCUAGCCUCUCUGUAGCACCUUCAUCCCUUUCAGUUUAUCAAAACCCUGCUGAUAUGUCACGGAAUAACCCCAAGUCUCCACAGAAGCCUAUUGUUAGAGUCUUCCUGCCCAAUAAGCAAAGGACUGUGGUUCCAGCAAGAUGUGGAGUGACAGUCCGAGACAGCCUAAAGAAAGCUCUGAUGAUGAGAGGUCUUAUUCCAGAGUGCUGUGCUGUUUACAGAAUACAAGAUGGAGAGAAGAAGCCAAUUGGCUGGGACACUGACAUUUCCUGGCUCACAGGGGAGGAGUUGCAUGUGGAAGUCUUGGAGAAUGUGCCACUCACAACACACAAUUUUGUACGAAAAACAUUCUUCACGUUAGCAUUUUGCGACUUUUGUCGAAAGCUGCUUUUCCAGGGAUUCCGAUGCCAGACAUGUGGCUACAAAUUUCACCAGCGCUGUAGUACAGAAGUGCCACUGAUGUGUGUUAAUUAUGACCAACUUGAUUUGCUGUUUGUCUCCAAGUUCUUUGAACAUCACCCCAUACCACAGGAGGAGCCCUCCUUAGGAGAGACCACCCCAGCAUCUGGAUCAUACCCCUCAGCACCCCCCUCAGAUUCUGUUGGACCACCAAUUCUCCCUAGUCCUUCUCCUUCAAAAUCCAUUCCAAUCCCACAGCCCCUCCGACCAGCAGAUGAAGACCAUCGGAAUCAAUUUGGGCAACGUGACCGAUCCUCUUCAGCUCCCAAUGUUCACAUCAAUACAAUCGAGCCAGUCAAUAUUGAUGACUUGAUAAGAGACCAGGGUUUACGAGGAGAGGGAGCCCCUUUGAACCAGCUGAUGCGCUGUCUUCGGAAAUACCAAUCCCGGACUCCCAGUCCCCUCCUUCAUUCUGUCCCCAGUGAAAUAGUGUUUGAUUUUGAGCCUGGCCCAGUGUUCAGAGGUUCAGCUGCAGGUUUGUCUGCAACACCUCCUGCCUCUUUGCCUGGGUCACUCACCAAUGUGAAAGCGUUACAGAAAUCACCAGGACCCCAGCGGGAAAGGAAAUCAUCCUCAUCCUCAGAAGACAGAAAUAGAAUGAAAACUCUUGGUCGACGGGAUUCAAGUGAUGAUUGGGAGAUACCAGAUGGACAGAUCACAGUUGGGCAAAGGAUAGGAUCUGGAUCAUUUGGAACAGUCUACAAAGGAAAAUGGCAUGGUGAUGUGGCAGUGAAAAUGUUGAAUGUUACAGCACCCACACCUCAACAGUUACAGGCUUUCAAAAAUGAAGUAGGAGUGCUCAGGAAAACACGACAUGUGAAUAUCCUGCUUUUCAUGGGUUAUUCAACAAAACCCCAGUUGGCUAUAGUUACACAAUGGUGUGAGGGGUCCAGCUUAUAUCACCAUCUGCACAUCAUUGAGACCAAAUUUGAAAUGAUCAAACUAAUUGAUAUUGCACGACAGACUGCACAAGGCAUGGAUUAUUUGCAUGCCAAGUCAAUCAUCCACAGAGACCUCAAGAGUAAUAAUAUAUUUCUUCAUGAAGACCUCACAGUAAAAAUAGGUGACUUUGGUCUAGCUACAGUGAAAUCACGAUGGAGUGGAUCCCAUCAGUUUGAACAGUUGUCUGGAUCUAUUCUAUGGAUGGCACCAGAAGUUAUUAGGAUGCAAGAUAAAAACCCAUACAGCUUUCAGUCGGACGUGUAUGCAUUUGGGAUUGUUCUUUAUGAAUUGAUGACUGGACAGUUACCAUACUCAAACAUCAACAACAGGGACCAGAUAAUUUUUAUGGUGGGACGAGGAUACCUGUCUCCAGACCUCAGCAAAGUAAGGAGCAACUGUCCAAAAGCUAUGAAAAGACUAAUGGCAGAAUGCUUAAAAAAGAAAAGAGAUGAGAGACCCCUUUUUCCACAGAUUCUUGCCUCCAUUGAGCUUCUGGCCCGGUCGUUGCCAAAAAUUCACCGCAGUGCAUCUGAGCCCUCAUUAAACCGGGCUGGCUUCCAGACAGAGGAUUUUAGUCUAUAUGCUUGUGCUUCUCCAAAAACACCCAUCCAAGCAGGGGGAUACGGUGGGUUUCCAGUGCACUGAAAAGAAGUGUGAAAGCAUGUGCCUGUGUGUCUGUGUGCUGGUGUGUUCCUGUGAGUGCAACACGUGUAAGCUCUCGGUUCCUACCAGCUAUGUUUUUAAGGUUUACUGAGGGAAUGAAGACUUUCUUCCUGAAAGUGGGCAUUGAAUGUCCUGAGCACAGAGUCCAUGUUGGUAACAACUGCCCUGGGAGCAGCUGGCACAAGAAGAAUUAUAAAAGAAAUGGGAAAAGGCACUUCAGAACAAGCAAAAAUCCUCUUAAGGAGAAUUUGCAGCGUUCAAGUAGGCACAGCACCAUGGCAGCACCCACUCUGUUACUUAAGUCUUGUGUUCCGACAGUUUCUUAACAUCCAAACUCUAUUCUGCUCCGCAAAACCUAAAGUAAUUUAGAAAAGAUAUCCAUAAGCUUAAAAGUGGAGCAGAAUGGAACUGCCAGUCCAACACAAUGGGAAAAAGUACCUUUUUGGGAACCAGAAUCCUCUGCUGCCAGUGUUUCUCCUUCAACACAAACCACCAUGUGCAUUCGGAGACCCGCAGUGCUGCCUGUGCCGUUGGCAUCAUUCCCGGGAGAGAGGAGAGGGCGCUCAUGGUUUGACUGUGGUGCUCGGGCAUGAGGGGAUGGAACUGCUGCUGCAACUUAGGAGACUUGCUUUGGAUGGUCUGCCGUUCAGCUUUCUCCCUCUAACAACGUACCAUCAGAGGCCGAAAAUCUGAUGAGUGCUAAUUUACAAGAAUCAUCCUCUGUUCUGAUCUUUUUUUUCCCGAUGUACUCACUGGUUUAUGGACAACGCAGUAUCCCCUUUUCACUGUAUUACAACAUCAAACACCUAAAUCCGUCUAUAUUAUUGGGGUUUACUCCGAUAAAGUUAAAAGCGGGGGGCGAUGGGAGCUGGAGAAGAUGUGACUCUAAGGCAGUGAGGUUAAUCUGAAGGAAAAGGGGAUGCUGCUGCACCUUUUUUCAGAUAUACUUUAUCACUUCUUCAAAAAACAUACAACCACCACCAACCUUAACCUGUUUCCUUUUCCAGUGUUUUCUUGGUGUAUGCAUAUACAACAUCUUUGAGAAGGAUUAGGUAGAUCCUUCUUUUUGAUCCAGCAACAAACUGAAGUUUAAAAAGCAAAACAAAAAAUGUAGCGAGAUUGUCCUCUCUUACUCUUUUUCUUUUGUAUCAUAUGAUACAAUGUAUUUAUCAAAGAUGCUACCACAGCAUCUGAAGUCUGUAGAAUUCCCGAUACAGACUGUGAAUGGUGUAUGUACCUACUUUAAAAGUUUUAUUUUAAAAGAGGGUGCAGGUUAAUGCCAGGUACCUUACCAAGAUGUAAUGUUUUCAUAAACGGGGAAAAAAGUUCUCAGGUUGAAUUGAAUACAAAUCCAAACCCCCCUAGAAUUAGACAUUCCGAAAAAUUAUGUUUUGGUACUUUCAAGAGCUUUUUUUAAAGGAUUUUUAUCCUGUUAACUAAACGUCCUCUGAUAAGUGUGUGUGUAAAUGUGGAGCAUCUUGUCCUAAUGGCAAGUUGUUAGAUCAAAACAAAACGGUACUUGCUGGAUCCAGGCUGACUACUUCUCCUCUCACAGCUUUCUGCGCUGUCAUCUCUUCCCUUCCAUUUGUCUUUCCCUUAUGUAUGCUUUGCAAACUAGGAUGAAGGUGGCGGUAUUUCCACUAGAGUGCUUUGUUUUCCUGUCCUCCAGUCCUGGUUUUCAGAUGGUUGAUAGCUUUUUCACAAGUUACCCAGUCAGGGAAGAAGAAAAAACCCAACUCAUCAAGUUCUGCACAUUGUUUACCUCUCAUAGAGUAUGUUGUGAUGUGAUCUGUUUGCAGAGUUCUCUGGUAUGUGAUAUUACAUGUAAAUUAUCUGUACAGAGGCAAGUCAGACCACAUGAGAAAGAAAUCCAAGUUCAGACAGAAGUUUUCAGAGUUUGAUUUGCAUCUGCCCUGUAACACUCCAAGUGAGGCAGGAGAACUGAACACCCCCCCCCCUCUAGCAGGGAGGUACUUGCUGGGAAGGAGAGGGGUGUUAAUCAUGACAAAUAAAUGAAGGAGUUAAAUGUG
Pezoporus occidentalis (night parrot) is the source of this 4712-nucleotide RNA transcript. It is a transcript of the gene named B-Raf proto-oncogene, serine/threonine kinase, with no coding region annotated. The record is from RefSeq and is a predicted model, not a curated record. The transcript has 20 exons. NCBI's taxonomy places the organism in Eukaryota, Metazoa, Chordata, Aves, Psittaciformes, Psittacidae.